GAGUUUGAUCCUGGCUCAGAACGAACGCUGGCGGCGUGCUUAACACAUGCAAGUCGAACGUGAUUGGAAGCUUGCUUCCAUGAAAGUGGCGCACGGGUGAGUAACGCGUGGAUAACCUGCCCUGGUAUCCGGAAUAACAUCUCGAAAGGGGUGCUAAUACCGGAUAAGCCUACGGAGCCUUCGGUCUCUGCAGGAAAAGGUGGCCUCUAUUUAUAAGCUACCGUAUCAGGAUGGGUCCGCGUACCAUUAGCUAGUUGGUGGGGUAAUGGCCUACCAAGGCGACGAUGGUUAGCUGGUCUGAGAGGAUGAUCAGCCACACUGGAAMUGAGACACGGUCCAGACUCCUACGGGAGGCAGCAGUGGGGAAUUUUGCGCAAUGGGGGAAACCCUGACGCAGCAACGCCGCGUGAGUGAUGAAGGCUUUCGGGUCGUAAAGCUCUGUCAGAGGGGAAGAAAUGGGUCUGGCUAAUAUCCAGAUUCCUUGACGGUACCCUCAAAGGAAGCACCGGCUAACUCCGUGCCAGCAGCCGCGGUAAUA
RNAcentral lists this ribosomal RNA (538 nucleotides) under uncultured Geobacter sp. RNAcentral describes it as "bacterial SSU rRNA". It matches the Rfam family "Bacterial small subunit ribosomal RNA", at positions 9 to 525 of the family's 1533-position model. Lineage: Bacteria; Pseudomonadati; Thermodesulfobacteriota; Desulfuromonadia; Geobacterales; Geobacteraceae. The record is from RNAcentral.